Molecule: long non-coding RNA, 754 nt
Filed under: Astyanax mexicanus (Mexican tetra)
Lineage: Eukaryota; Metazoa; Chordata; Actinopteri; Characiformes; Acestrorhamphidae
Description: lncRNA (ENSAMXG00005011195.1)
Source: RNAcentral
CUGAUCUUCAGUUCUAUCUGAACAGCUGCUUUAUUUAAUCUUCUUCUUACUCUGCUGCACAGCUGUGUUAGUUCAGUUUAUCACUUUAAUUCUACACUUUACACCACAUUUCUAUCUACAUCUUAUUAUCACUUUUACUGAUGCUCUGUUUUUUUCUGUUCUUUUAGAUGACUUUCCAAGCAAGAGAUCUCUGGUAUUAAUUAUUGGAGUUGCAGUUGUUGUACUUUUACUUGUUGUACUUGUGCUGUUCCUGUGUUUGGUAAUCCUCCGUGUUCGGGAAAGGAGAAACAUAAAGCGUGCGGGCCAAGGACAUCUAUACGGCCAAGGAGAUAAACGAACCUCUUCUUUAAGGUCUAAUAUGAAUGAAUUCAUCUGGGAAGUCAUUCAAAUGUGUAAUAGAGAUGCUGUUAUACGACUUAAUUAACCUUCUACCAAUCUGAAGAUGUUACCCAUCCACCUGAAGGUCCUGUUACCCAUCCACCUGAAGAUCCUGUUACCCAUCUACCUGAAGGUCCUGUUACCAAUCCACCUGAAGGUCCUGUUACCCAUCUACCUGAAGGUCCUGUUACCCCAAUCCACCUGAAGGUCCUGUUACCCAUCCACCUGAAGGUCCUGUUACCCAUCCACCUGAAGGUCCUGUUACCCCAAUCCACCUGAAGGUCCUGUUACCCAUCCACCUGAAGGUCUUGUUACCCAUCCACCUGAAGGUCCUGCUGCCAAUAAACAGCCACCCAAUGGAUAAGAUGUACUAUUA